GGGGGAAUAUUGGACAAUGGGCGAAAGCCUGAUCCAGCCAUGCCGCGUGAGUGAUGAAGGCCCUAGGGUUGUAAAGCUCUUUUGUGCGGGAAGAUAAUGACGGUACCGCAAGAAUAAGCCCCGGCUAACUUCGUGCCAGCAGCCGCGGUAAUACGAAGGGGGCUAGCGUUGCUCGGAAUCACUGGGCGUAAAGGGUGCGUAGGCGGGUUUCUAAGUCAGAGGUGAAAGCCUGGAGCUCAACUCCAGAACUGCCUUUGAUACUGGAAGUCUUGAGUUCGGGAGAGGUGAGUGGAACUGCGAGUGUAGAGGUGAAAUUCGUAGAUAUUCGCAAGAACACCAGUGGCGAAGGCGACUUACUGGACACAUAUUGACGCUGAGGUGCGAAAGCGUGGGGAGCAAA
This 400-nucleotide ribosomal RNA is filed under the name uncultured bacterium. RNAcentral's name for it is "bacterial SSU rRNA". It matches the Rfam family "Bacterial small subunit ribosomal RNA", at positions 355 to 772 of the family's 1533-position model. The record is from RNAcentral.